ACGAAUAAAGCGGAGAUGGGAUGGCGGCGCCCCCACACCUUAUCAUCCAAAUAUCAUCCAAGUAUCUCCGGGCAGCUUCCGCCACACACGCCGUAACUCCUAUCACCCUACUGCUCCUCAGUCCUCAGUAUACCAUAGCUUGGCUUCCCCGAAUGGCCGUUCCCAUUUAUAACUACUACUGUUCCCCGCUCCUCGGUUGCCUGCCCUGUGCCUUCCCCUUCUCCUCCUUUCCACCGUAUCGUCAGCUACACCUUCUCUCACCCAAUUCUUUACACUCCUCUUCUUCUUCGCUUUACCAUUUAAAAAAUCAAAGUAUUACUAGCGCUACGAUUACGGUAUGAUGAGAGGAUCUCAUUUACUGAUGCUUGCUCAACUCUUUUCGGAAAAGAAAUCGACGGAAUUGGAAGAAGGAAGAAACAGCUACAGUUAAAAAAGAUUUCAGGCCCAAAUCGGGCAGAAAGCAACGGAAAGCGCAGAAAGGCAGCAAAAUAUAUUUUUAAAUUGCCCAUUCUACCCCUAAAAAACUGUUGAAUAAAAUAUUUAUUUACUUAUAUAUCCAAAAUCACCUGCUUUCUUUCAUAAACUCCCAAACAACAUUAAAAUAUCUUCUCUUCUUUUCUUAUCCUUUCUUCCCUCUCGUAACUUAACCUCUCUCUUCUUUUCUUUUCUAUCCUCAACUCACAAACUAGCUAUAAAUCUCAUUGGAUUAGGAAUUAAAAACCAGAAGAAGGAGCUGUUUGGGGGUGAAGGUGUAAUAUAACUGUAAGAGAAAGGGCCGAAGCACGAAUAAAGCGGAGAUGGGAUGGCGGCGCCCCCACACCUUAUCAUCCAAAUAUCAUCCAAGUAUCUCCGGGCAGCUUCCGCCACACACGCCGUAACUCCUAUCACCCUACUGCUCCUCAGUCCUCAGUAUACCAUAGCUUGGCUUCCCCGAAUGGCCGUUCCCAUUUAUAACUACUACUGUUCCCCGCUCCUCGGCUGCCUGCCCUGUGCCUUCCCCUUCUCCUCCUUUCCACCGUAUCGUCAGCUACACCUUCUCUCACCCAAUUCUUUACACUCCUCUUCUUCUUCGCUUUACCAUUUAAAAAAUCAAAGUAUUACUAGCGCUACGAUUACGGUAUGAUGAGAGGAUCUCAUUUACUGAUGCUUGCUCAACUCUUUUCGGAAAAGAAAUCGACGGAAUUGGAAGAAGGAAGAAACAGCUACAGUUAAAAAAGAUUUCCGGCCCAAAUCGGGCAGAAAGCAACGGAAAGCGCAGAAAGGCAGCAAAAUAUAUUUUUAAAUUGCCCAUUCUACCCCUAAAAAACUGUUGAAUAAAAUAUUUAUUUACUUAUAUAUCCAAAAUCACCUGCUUUCUUUCAUAAACUCCCAAACAACAUUAAAAUAUCUUCUCUUCUUUUCUUAUCCUUUCUUCCCUCUCGUAACUUAACCUCUCUCUUCUUUUCUUUUCUAUCCUCAACUCACAAACUAGCUAUAAAUCUCAUUGGAUUAGGAAUUAAAAACCAGAAGAAGGAGCUGUUUGGGGGUGAAGGUGUAAUAUAACUGUAAGAGAAAGGGCCGAAGCACGAAUAAAGCGGAGAUGGGAUGGCGGCGCCCCCACACCUUAUCAUCCAAAUAUCAUCCAAGUAUCUCCGGGCAGCUUCCGCCACACACGCCGUAACUCCUAUCACCCUACUGCUCCUCAGUCCUCAGUAUACCAUAGCUUGGCUUCCCCGAAUGGCCGUUCCCAUUUAUAACUACUACUGUUCCCCGCUCCUCGGCUGCCUGCCCUGUGCCUUCCCCUUCUCCUCCUUUCCACCGUAUCGUCAGCUACACCUUCUCUCACCCAAUUCUUUACACUCCUCUUCUUCUUCGCUUUACCAUUUAAAAAAUCAAAGUAUUACUAGCGCUACGAUUACGGUAUGAUGAGAGGAUCUCAUUUACUGAUGC
This 1929-nucleotide long non-coding RNA is filed under the name Coffea arabica (coffee). RNAcentral describes it as "long non-coding RNA (CARA_LNC004439)". Lineage: Eukaryota; Viridiplantae; Streptophyta; Magnoliopsida; Gentianales; Rubiaceae. The record is from RNAcentral.